RNAcentral lists this ribosomal RNA (450 nucleotides) under uncultured bacterium. RNAcentral describes it as "bacterial SSU rRNA". It matches the Rfam family "Bacterial small subunit ribosomal RNA", at positions 354 to 796 of the family's 1533-position model. The record is from RNAcentral.
GUGGGGAAUAUUGGACAAUGGGCGAAAGCCUGAUCCAGCAACGCCGCGUGGAGGAUGAAGGCCUUCGGGUUGUAAACUCCUGUUAGGGGGAACGAAAGGUCGCGGGUUAACAGCCGGCGGCCCUGACGGUACCUCCAGAGGAAGCCCCGGCUAACUCUGUGCCAGCAGCCGCGGUAAUACAGAGGGGGCGAGCGUUAUUCGGAAUUAUUGGGCGUAAAGGGCGCGUAGGCGGCAAGGUAAGUCAAAGGUGAAAUCCCUCGGCUCAACUGAGGAACUGCCUUUGAAACUGCCUAGCUUGAGGCCGGGAGAGGGUAGUGGAAUUCCCAGUGUAGCGGUGAAAUGCGUAGAUACUGGGAGGAACACCAGUGGCGAAGGCGGCUACCUGGACCGGUUCUGACGCUGAUGCGCGAAAGCGUGGGGAGCAAACAGGAUUAGAUACCCUUGUAGUCC